Non-coding RNA from Ictidomys tridecemlineatus (thirteen-lined ground squirrel), 1066 nucleotides. The record is from RefSeq and is a predicted model, not a curated record. NCBI's taxonomy places the organism in Eukaryota, Metazoa, Chordata, Mammalia, Rodentia, Sciuridae.
UCACAGAGAAGGGGACCCAAGUCAAAUCGGCAUUAGCAGCCUUUCCAUGGUUCUUGAGGGCCCACCAAGGGAGAGCAGCAGUAGCAACAUCAGGUUUCAUAGUGGGUCCUUGUAUUCAACUGCCAUUCUCAGAGGACAGCAUGAUGCAGUAGGAGAGACAACUGUCAAUUCCAUCAUGAAGUUCAGGAGUAGACCUUUCAUGUCAUCUUUGUAGAAUGAAGACAACUCUAAACUCAGCCUCACUUCAGUUUCUAGUUCUUUUGACUCUGGGAAGAUGUCUACUUUGUCCCCAACUGGGUGGGUUCUUAUGCUAUCAGAAGAAUUAGAUAAAAGUACAACUGGGACAGGAAUGAAACUAUUCUUAUGCUCAGGCAUAAAGAAGGCAGCACAUGGGGGACAGAAAUUGCAGGAUGACUAAAAGGACAAAGGUGUACAGCUUUUAUGGCAUCGACAAGAAAAACUGGACCCUUCAUCCACUUUGCAGUUUGACAAUUGACAAUUCUGUCUUACACCUAUGAAAAUAUUGUCUUAUUUAAAUUUUACCUAAACUUCAUCCUCUCCUCCAAAGUCCUAUAGUAACUCCUUUCGUUAGUGAGAUGUGAUUUCUCUAGAAGGGAACUGUCUCAAACUUCAUCUUUGUGCAACUCAGGUUAUGGAAAGUGGGAAGGCAGUAUGACAAAAGCAGAAAAUAUACAUAUAUAGAUUUAGCUAGGCUGUGUUAAUCAUAAAUAUGUCCGUCUCAGGUUUCCUGGCACCAUAAAUGGGUCAGCUGCUGGGGACCAGAGGGUUGGGAGUGGGCAGUCCUACAAGCCUCUAUUCCUAGUAGGAGGAAAUAAGGGAAACAGAAAAAACAAGUCAUUUGGAAGUUGCCAUUAAUUUCAAAGGGAGUCUUUUUCAAUUGGUCACCAUGUCUAAGAAAAGAAAUUCCAACUAGAGUAUUUUUCUGAAGUAAAUACCUGCACAUGGAGACAGCGAUUAGACAAGAAAAAUUUCUCCAAUUAGUUAAAGUGUUUCCCUUAGUGAUUCAUCUUUCUGAAUUUUCAAUAAAGUUUAAGAUUUAAUGAUU